This 490-nucleotide ribosomal RNA is filed under the name uncultured bacterium. RNAcentral describes it as "partial 16S ribosomal RNA". It matches the Rfam family "Bacterial small subunit ribosomal RNA", at positions 30 to 507 of the family's 1533-position model. The record is from RNAcentral.
AUUGAACGCUGGCGGCAGGCCUAACACAUGCAAGUCGAACGGUAACAGGAAGAAGCUUGCUUCUUUGCUGACGAGUGGCGGACGGGUGAGUAAUGUCUGGGAAACUGCCUGAUGGAGGGGGAUAACUACUGGAAACGGUAGCUAAUACCGCAUAACGUCGCAAGACCAAAGAGGGGGACCUUCGGGCCUCUUGCCAUCGGAUGUGCCCAGAUGGGAUUAGCUAGUAGGUGGGGUAACGGCUCACCUAGGCGACGAUCCCUAGCUGGUCUGAGAGGAUGACCAGCCACACUGGAACUGAGACACGGUCCAGACUCCUACGGGAGGCAGCAGUGGGGAAUAUUGCACAAUGGGCGCAAGCCUGAUGCAGCCAUGCCGCGUGUAUGAAGAAGGCCUUCGGGUUGUAAAGUACUUUCAGCGGGGAGGAAGGGAGUAAAGUUAAUACCUUUGCUCAUUGACGUUACCCGCAGAAGAAGCACCGACUAACUCCGUG